CUGCUUACUGCGCUCCCCGGGCACGGCGCCGUUCAGCAGCCCCUCACUGCACUUCUCGGCCAUCCCUGGAGGCUGGAGCGCAACGCCAGCUGCCCGCUGCGGGGUCCCCGUCUCUCCGUUGCGCCGACACUUGCACGUUUCAAUCCACUGUCAGAGCAAGCGUGCCCAUGCCGCCGCCCGGCCCCUCCCGCCGCACCGGGUGAGCCCACGGAGGCGCCGCCGCGCCGCGCCCGGUCCGCCGCCGGUACCGAUACCGGUGAGCGCCAGGCCCCGUGCCCGGUGCCACCGCCGGUGCUGCCGAGUUAAUGAAAGUUUGGAGGUCGGUGGGGGCUGG
Molecule: long non-coding RNA, 334 nt
Filed under: Gallus gallus (chicken)
Lineage: Eukaryota; Metazoa; Chordata; Aves; Galliformes; Phasianidae
Source: RNAcentral